AUGUCGGCCGCCGCCGGCAAGCCGUCCCGAUCUGCCUCCGCCAUCGUUGCCUCCACGGUGAGCGGGUACCACCUUCUCAAGGUCGAUGGCUACUCCCGCACCAAGGGCGUCCCCACCGGAGAGAGGAUAAAGUCCCGCCCUUUCACCCUUGGGGGACAUCGAUGGCACAUUGAGUACUAUCCCAACGGCCAGAAACCAGAGUACGCAGAAUACAUAUCUGUGUUCCUUAAUCUUGAUGCCAGUGUUGCCACGGCGGUGAAGGCGCAACAAAAAUUCAGUUUUGCGGAUGAGGAAACGAACCAAGCUCCUUCGCUGAUAUCAACAGUAAACAGCUACAGUUCUCAGCAGGGCUGGGGAGUCGCGACAUUCAUCAAGAGGGCAGACCUGGAGAAGUCAGAGCAUCUCAAGGACGAUUCCUUCACCAUCAGGUGCGAUAUCAUUGUCAUAGGCGACUACCGCGCAGAGGAUUUGCUCGAAGAGACUCCUCCAGCAUUUGUCACUGUGGCCCCAUCUGACCUGCACCAGCACCUCGGAGAUCUCCUCAACACUGAGAAGGGUGCCGACGUAGUCUUCGAGGUUGGUGGUCACACGUUCGCAGCACACCGCUGCCCGAUCGCCAGUCUUCAGUGCUGA
RNAcentral lists this ribosomal RNA (633 nucleotides) under Triticum aestivum (bread wheat). Its description in RNAcentral is "partial small subunit ribosomal RNA". The record is from RNAcentral. Lineage: Eukaryota; Viridiplantae; Streptophyta; Magnoliopsida; Poales; Poaceae.